Molecule: ribosomal RNA, 467 nt
Filed under: uncultured bacterium
Lineage: Bacteria
Description: partial 16S ribosomal RNA
Rfam family: Bacterial small subunit ribosomal RNA
Source: RNAcentral
GACGAACGCUGGCGGCGUGCUUAACACAUGCAAGUCGAACGGAAAGGCCCUGCUUUUGUUGGGUGCUCGAGUGGCGAAGGGGUGAGUAACACGUGAGUAACCUGCCCUUGACUUUGGGAUAACUCCAGGAAACUGGGGCUAAUACCGGAUAGGAGCUCCUGCUCCACGGUGGGGAUGGGAAGAAACGGCUGUUGGGGUCGGUUUCGCGGGUUAUCCGGUUGUUUGUGGAGGAGUGGCUUACCAAGGCUUUGACGGGUAGCCGGCCUGGGAGGGUGACCGGCCACAUUGGGACUGAGGUACGGCCCAGUCGCGUACGGUCGGCAGCAGUGGGGAGCAUUGCACAGUGGCCGGGAGCGUGAUGCGGAGGCGCCGCGAGCGGAAUGACGGCCUUCGGGUUGUAAACAGCUUUCGACUGUGACGAGGCGUGAGUGACGGUAAUGGGUAAAGAAGCACCGGCUAACUACGUG